AGGGUUGCGUGAAGGCGGGGGUGAGACUAUAUGACGGGUUGCCCGGUGCGCCGGGCUAUGGCGAUAAACGUCGUUCGGAAUAGACGUUGCGGACGCGGGGGCAGUACCCGCCGCCUCCACCAUAAACCUAUGGGGGCGAACCAGGAUCGACGUGCGUGGUAAAGGUGCGAUUUUCGCCCGGUAUGAUACCGCCGUUAUCGGGUCAAUCUCACAAACGCCAACGACAAUGAGGCGUUCGCUGUUGCCGCUUAGGCGACAAGCGCGGUUUGGAGGGCACCGGGCAACAGAAGCCCUCCAUC
RNAcentral lists this transfer-messenger RNA (299 nucleotides) under Alphaproteobacteria bacterium. It matches the Rfam family "Alphaproteobacteria transfer-messenger RNA". From Rfam's summary of the family: Bacterial tmRNA, also known as 10Sa RNA or SsrA, is named for its dual tRNA and mRNA-like properties. Lineage: Bacteria; Pseudomonadati; Pseudomonadota; Alphaproteobacteria. The record is from RNAcentral.